RNAcentral lists this ribosomal RNA (431 nucleotides) under uncultured bacterium. RNAcentral describes it as "bacterial SSU rRNA". It matches the Rfam family "Bacterial small subunit ribosomal RNA", at positions 354 to 776 of the family's 1533-position model. The record is from RNAcentral.
GUCGGGAAUUUUGGGCAAUGGGGGAAACCCUGACCCAGCAACGCCGCGUGAGGGAUGAAGGCCCUCGGGUCGUAAACCUCUGUCGGGAGGGAAGAAAGCUUUGCGGGCGAAUACCCCGGGGAGCUGACGGUACCUCCAAAGGAAGGUCCGGCUAACUCCGUGCCAGCAGCCGCGGUAAUACGGAGGGACCAAGCGUUGUUCGGAAUCAUUGGGCGUAAAGCGCGUGUAGGCGGCUUGGUAAGUCGGAUGUGAAAGCCCGGGGCUCAACCCCGGAAUUGCAUUCGAAACUGCCAGGCUAGAGUCCCGGAGAGGAGGGCGGAAUUCCCGGUGUAGAGGUGAAAUUCGUAGAUAUCGGGAGGAACACCAGUGGCGAAGGCGGCCCUCUGGACGGUGACUGACGCUGAGACGCGAAAGCGUGGGGAGCAAACAGG